AGAUUUGUUAGGAGAUCCCUAUUCCCUUCACUGAGCUACCAUUCCCAGAGUAGUUGAAGAAUAACACCCUUUUCUCAGUGAACUCUGGAAAUUGUAGCUCUUUGAGGGGAAUGGGGGUCUCCUAACAACUCU
Non-coding RNA from Podarcis lilfordi (Lilford's wall lizard), 132 nucleotides. The record is from the annotation of a GenBank genome assembly. NCBI's taxonomy places the organism in Eukaryota, Metazoa, Chordata, Lepidosauria, Squamata, Lacertidae.